RNAcentral lists this ribosomal RNA (450 nucleotides) under uncultured bacterium. Its description in RNAcentral is "partial 16S ribosomal RNA". It matches the Rfam family "Bacterial small subunit ribosomal RNA", at positions 354 to 796 of the family's 1533-position model. The record is from RNAcentral.
GUGGGGAAUAUUGGACAAUGGGCGAAAGCCUGAUCCAGCCAUGCCGCGUGUGUGAAGAAGGUCUUCGGAUUGUAAAGCACUUUAAGUUGGGAGGAAGGGUAGUAACCUAAUACGUUGCUACUUUGACGUUACCGACAGAAUAAGCACCGGCUAACUUCGUGCCAGCAGCCGCGGUAAUACGAAGGGUGCAAGCGUUAAUCGGAAUUACUGGGCGUAAAGCGCGCGUAGGUGGUUCAGUAAGUUGGAAGUGACAUCCCCGGGCUCAACCUGGGAACUGCUUUCAAAACUGCUGAGCUAGAGUACGGUAGAGGGUGGUGGAAUUUCCUGUGUAGCGGUGAAAUGCGUAGAUAUAGGAAGGAACACCAGUGGCGAAGGCGACCACCUGGACUGAUACUGACACUGAGGUGCGAAAGCGUGGGGAGCAAAUAGGAUUAGAUACCCGGGUAGUCC